GGGCUUGACAUCCCACGAACCUGCUGAAGGGCAGGAGUGCCCGCAAGGGAGCGCGGAGACAGGUGGUGCAUGGCUGUCGUCAGCUCGUAUCGUGAGAUGUUGGGUUAAGUCCCGCAACGAGCGCAACCCUCACCCCUUGUUGCUACCAGGUAAAGCUGGGCACUCUAGGGGAACUGCCCCGGUCAACGGGGAGGAAGGCGGGGAAGACGUCAAGUCAUCAUGCCCCUUACGUCCUGGGCUACACACGUGCUACAAUGGCCGGUACAAAGGGAUGCCACACCGCGAGGUAGAGCUAAACCCAAAAAGCCGGUCUAAGUUCAGAUUGGAGUCUGCAACUCGACUCCAUGAAGGAGGAAUCGCUAGUAAUCGCGUAUCAGCACGACGCGGUGAAUACGUUCCCGGGCCUUGUACACACCGCCCGUCACACCACGAAAGCCAGCUGUACUCGAAGUCGCUGAG
RNAcentral lists this ribosomal RNA (459 nucleotides) under uncultured Methylomirabilota bacterium. Its description in RNAcentral is "bacterial SSU rRNA". It matches the Rfam family "Bacterial small subunit ribosomal RNA", at positions 977 to 1434 of the family's 1533-position model. The record is from RNAcentral. Lineage: Bacteria; Methylomirabilota (SeqCode).